AGUUUAUUUAUUUGUUGGUACACACAAUUUAGUUAUAAUGGAAGACUACUAAUCAUAUACUAAAUGUAACAUUUUAAAUUUUAUUUUAGUGAAUAAUUACUCAUCAAUUGAGGUGGUCCUGAUUUGGAGGAAGAUUCACAAAACAGAAUUUUACAGAAAAAAUGAAAAAAUCGUUUCUCUCCCAAUCUCUUGUAUCUCCACGAACUUUGUUUACUUUGAAAGAUGU
RNAcentral lists this long non-coding RNA (226 nucleotides) under Mytilus galloprovincialis (Mediterranean mussel). Lineage: Eukaryota; Metazoa; Mollusca; Bivalvia; Mytilida; Mytilidae. The record is from RNAcentral.